AGAAACAAACGUUAUCCACCAAACACAUCGGGCCUUCGUAUAUGAUGACUAUUGGAAGGCGGUAUCGCAAAGUGAGCUGAAAAAAGCAAGUCAAUUAACAAGCGAUGAAGAAAGUAUACGAACGGUUCUCUGUCUCGACAUAUAAGAGAGCAUGGCUUCUGGGAACGCAUGGUCGCAGGCCAAAACAUUUGUGAACGAUUUUCUUAAUGGCUUAGACAUGAUGACAGCUCAAUACGGACGUUUCGGACUUACAAGGGAAUAUGUCGGCGUAGUUACAUUUGGUCACGAAACGCAAUUACAUCAACUUCCAACAUCAAACUACACGUUGAUUCGAGAGAAAAUAGAUAAUCUUCGAUUGGGUGGACCAAGUCCAUUAUAUGGAGGCCUUUGGUUGAGUGUAGCAGGUGCUAGGUGUUGAAGAGCCCUUGCUGCAACAGGUAGCGGGAUCGUUAUGAGUCCAAGGAUUGUUGUUAUAACAGACGGCAAACCCACUGAAACUUGGUUGAGAGCUGGACCCGACAUCACAACGCAAACAGACAAGGCAAUUAUUGCAAAACAUAAUAUUUCACGAAUAGAAACAUUACGUUUGG
Long non-coding RNA from Dreissena polymorpha, 590 nucleotides. RefSeq lists it as uncharacterized. The transcript has 5 exons. The record is from RefSeq and is a predicted model, not a curated record. NCBI's taxonomy places the organism in Eukaryota, Metazoa, Mollusca, Bivalvia, Myida, Dreissenidae.